GGGAUAACACCUGGAAACAGGUGCUAAUACCGUAUAACACUAUUUUCCGCAUGGAAGAAAGUUGAAAGGCGCUUUUGCGCCACUGAUGGAUGGACCCGCGGUGCAUUAGCUAGUUGGUGAGGUAACGGCUCACCAAGGCCACGAUGCAUAGCCGACCUGAGAGGGUGAUCGGCCACACUGGGACUGAGACACGGCCCAGACUCCUACGGGAGGCAGCAGUAGGGAAUCUUCGGCAAUGGACGAAAGUCUGACCGAGCAACGCCGCGUGAGUGAAGAAGGUUUUCGGAUCGUAAAACUCUGUUGUUAGAGAAGAACAAGGAUGAGAGUAAAACGUUCAUCCCUUGACGGUAUCUAACCAGAAAGCCACGGCUAACUACGUGCCAGCAGCCGCGGUAAUACGUAGGUGGCAAGCGUUGUCCGGAUUUAUUGGGCGUAAAGCGAGCGCAGGCGGUUUCUUAAGUCUGAUGUGAAAGCCCCCGGCUCAACCGGGGAGGGUCAUUGGAAACUGGGAGACUUGAGUGCAGAAGAGGAGAGUGGAAUUCCAUGUGUAGCGGUGAAAUGCGUAGAUAUAUGGAGGAACACCAGUGGCGAAGGCGGCUCUCUGGUCUGUAACUGACGCUGAGGCUCGAAAGCGUGGGGAGCGAACAGGAUUAGAUACCCUGGUAGUCCACGCCGUAAACGAUGAGUACUAAGUGUUGGAGGGUUUCCGCCCUUCAGUGCUGCAGCA
RNAcentral lists this ribosomal RNA (727 nucleotides) under uncultured bacterium. RNAcentral describes it as "bacterial SSU rRNA". It matches the Rfam family "Bacterial small subunit ribosomal RNA", at positions 140 to 853 of the family's 1533-position model. The record is from RNAcentral.